UGUUGGGUAGGGGAGCGUUCUGUAAGCCUGUGAAGGUGUGUCGUGAGGCAUGCUGGAGGUAUCAGAAGUGCGAAUGCUGACAUAAGUAACGAUAAAGCGGGUGAAAAGCCCGCUCGCCGGAAGACCAAGGGUUCCUGUCCAACGUUAAUCGGGGCAGGGUGAGUCGACCCCUAAGGCGAGGCCGAAAGGCGUAGUCGAUGGGAAACGGGUUAAUAUUCCCGUACUUGGUGUUACUGCGAAGGGGGGACGGAGAAGGCUAUGUUGGCCGGGCGACGGUUGUCCCGGUUUAAGCGUGUAGGUGUGUGUUCCAGGUAAAUCCGGUUCACUUUAACACUGAGGCGUGACGACGAGGCACUACGGUGCUGAAGCAACAAAUGCCCUGCUUCCAGGAAAAGCCUCUAAGCAUCAGGUAACAUCAAAUCGUACCCCAAACCGACACAGGUGGUCAGGUAGAGAAUACCAAGGCGCUUGAGAGAACUCGGGUGAAGGAACUAGGCAAAAUGGUGCCGUAACUUCGGGAGAAGGCACGCUGACACGUAGGUGAAGUGAUUUACUCAUGGAGCUGAAGUCAGUCGAAGAUACCAGCUGGCUGCAACUGUUUAUUAAAAACACAGCACUGUGCAAACACGAAAGUGGACGUAUACGGUGUGACGCCUGCCCGGUGCCGGAAGGUUAAUUGAUGGGGUCAGCGCAAGCGAAGCUCCUGAUCGAAGCCCCGGUAAACGGCGGCCGUAACUAUAACGGUCCUAAGGUAGCGAAAUUCCUUGUCGGGUAAGUUCCGACCUGCACGAAUGGCGUAAUGAUGGCCAGGCUGUCUCCACCCGAGACUCAGUGAAAUUGAACUCGCUGUGAAGAUGCAGUGUACCCGCGGCAAGACGGAAAGACCCCGUGAACCUUUACUAUAGCUUGACACUGAACAUUGAGCCUUGAUGUGUAG
RNAcentral lists this ribosomal RNA (937 nucleotides) under Salmonella enterica. RNAcentral describes it as "partial 23S ribosomal RNA". It matches the Rfam family "Bacterial large subunit ribosomal RNA", at positions 1222 to 2141 of the family's 2925-position model. The record is from RNAcentral. Lineage: Bacteria; Pseudomonadati; Pseudomonadota; Gammaproteobacteria; Enterobacterales; Enterobacteriaceae.